RNAcentral lists this ribosomal RNA (468 nucleotides) under uncultured bacterium. RNAcentral's name for it is "partial 16S ribosomal RNA". It matches the Rfam family "Bacterial small subunit ribosomal RNA", at positions 28 to 507 of the family's 1533-position model. The record is from RNAcentral.
GACGAACGCUGGCGGCGUGCUUAACACAUGCCAGUCGAACGGAAAGGCCCUGCUUUUGUGGGGUGCUCGAGUGGCGAACGGGCGAGUAACACGUGAGUAACCUGCCCUUGACUUUGGGAUAACUUCAGGAAACUGGGGCUAAUACCGGAUAGGAGCUCCUGCUGCAUGGUGGGGGUUGGAAAGUUUCGGCGGUUGGGGAUGGACUCGCGGCUUAUCAGCUUGUUGGUGGGGUAGUGGCUUACCAAGGCGUUGACGGGUAGCCGGCCUGAGAGGGUGACCGGCCACAUUGGGACUGAGAUACGGCCCAGACUCCUACGGGAGGCAGCAGUGGGGAAUAUUGCACAAUGGGCGGAAGCCUGAUGCAGCAACGCCGCGUGCGGGAUGACGGCCUUCGGGUUGUAAACCGCUUUCGCCUGUGACGAAGCGUGAGUGACGGUAAUGGGUAAAGAAGCACCGGCUAACUACGUG